CCGCUCCCUGGUGUCCAGCGCGGACGCCGUGACCUUGUCCUGGUCACCUCCUCCCCCUGACCAGCCCCUUGGGGAGGGGGGGGGGGGGAAAUAAAGGCCUGAAUUUUUAAAAAAAGCACUUUCGUGUAUCUCCAACUCUUCCUGACCCCAUCUGAGGCUUUCUGGCAAAAAGACUGCAGCGGUUUGCCUUCCGGCUCGUUUUACAAAUGAGGAAAUUGAGGCAGAAGUGACUGGGCCAAGGUCACACAGCAAGUAUGGGAGCCCGGAUGUGAGCUUAGCGAGAGCAGGCGCCCUCAGUGCAAGGCCGAUUUUAUUAUUCAUGACGAUCUUGCUUGCUGUGACUGCAAAUUGUGAAGCGCUUCA
Molecule: long non-coding RNA, 363 nt
Filed under: Sarcophilus harrisii (Tasmanian devil)
Lineage: Eukaryota; Metazoa; Chordata; Mammalia; Dasyuromorphia; Dasyuridae
Description: lncRNA (ENSSHAG00000031985.1)
Source: RNAcentral